This 304-nucleotide unclassified non-coding RNA is filed under the name uncultured fungus. RNAcentral's name for it is "sequence contains ITS1". The stretch from base 1 to 104 matches the Rfam family "5.8S ribosomal RNA", at positions 50 to 154 of the family's 154-position model. The record is from RNAcentral. Lineage: Eukaryota; Fungi.
UAGCUGCGAUAUGUAGCCCGAAUUGCAAACCUGUGGAGGGCUAAAAUUUCGAACGCAAAUGGCGCCGUCGGGUUACUCCCGUCGGCACGUCUGUCUGAGUGUUGGUCUGUCAAACACACAUUGUAACGAAUGUGUAGAGCAUUUGUGUGGAAGGCAUACCCUUGCCUUUCGUUGUCGUCGUUGAAAUAUGAGUGCUAGCCGCCUACGGCUUUGUUGGCUUAUUGGCUAACUUUGUUCUCAAGCGGAAAAAUGCAAAAACUCAAUUGCUGACCUCAGAUCAGGCGUGACUCCCCGCUGAACUUAA